Molecule: long non-coding RNA, 702 nt
Filed under: Sinocyclocheilus grahami
Lineage: Eukaryota; Metazoa; Chordata; Actinopteri; Cypriniformes; Cyprinidae
Description: lncRNA (ENSSGRG00000044676.1)
Source: RNAcentral
CGAGACUGAAAGUAUUCUGUGGUCAAAUCAAACCUGUUCUUCUGGAUUGACAGGUCAUGAUGAGCAUCUGAUCGUCUUCAGUGUUGAGCUGUUCAUCUGCAGUAUGUCAGAGGAGCGAGGAAAGAUGAGUCUCUCACAGAAACAGAGUGUAAGAUCAGGCUCACAUGUGUCCAGCUCUGUGUCUGUGAAGAGUGACCGCUCAAAACAUGAACCACCGGGAUUCAGUGAGAAAACACCAUCAGCCACUGAAAGUGUAAGAUCAGGCUCACAUGUGUCCAGCUCUGUGUCUGUGAAGAGUGACCGCUCAAAAGAAGGUUUGCCACUGAGAUUCAGUGAGGAAACACCAUCAGCUACUGAAAGGCUGCAAUAUGAGACAUUAGAUUCAGACGAGCAGAUUAACAAGAACCACAAGGAUUUCACAGACAAACUCCUAGAAAUCUUCCAGGAUCUUGAGAAGAAAAUAAUCAAAUUUCUAAAAAAUGAGCUGGAAAUGUUUAAGAAAAUAUUACAAAAAGAGGACAUGCAAUACUUUGUGAAGGAGUUUAAUGAGAACAGAUGCAGUAACAAAGAAGCAGCUCUUGAUCUCACGCUCUGCUUCCUGAGAGAGAUGAAGCAAGAUGAAGCUGCCGAUACUUUAGAAGGUAAGAGACUCUGUUUGCUGUUUCCAGCGCUGUGUCAAUCGGUUUUCUCUUCAACAAUCAC